Long non-coding RNA from Acanthopagrus latus (yellowfin seabream), 2740 nucleotides. RefSeq lists it as uncharacterized. The record is from RefSeq and is a predicted model, not a curated record. NCBI's taxonomy places the organism in Eukaryota, Metazoa, Chordata, Actinopteri, Spariformes, Sparidae. The transcript is spliced from 3 exons.
AGGACGAAUAAAUCCAGUUUUCGACUUCGCUUUGUGUUGAAGGGCAGAGAGUGUGAUGAAACUGGUCGAAACAGCCUGGUUGUGAGUAGGUGUGAGUUUCAUGACGUCAUCCUGCUGAUUACAACAGGCCUUCAGAUAACAGAUGGGAGAUCAACGCCUGCUGCUACAAUACAGCAUAGUUAAUGGUUUCAGAGUGAUUGAUCGCUGCUCAUCGAGCCGCUGUAAGGCAGAGGUACGUGACCCUCGAAAGAGAGGAUAAUUAAAGCUCUGUCGACAUCUGCUUUCAUCAAAGAAGAAACUGCUGCUAAUGUUUGCCACGGGCUCUGCUAAAAUCCCUCCGCCUCCAAACUCUACUCCUCAAGUCCUAAAGCAGCAGACGCUGUCUCCUGCAGAGGGAGCAAUGGUGAAGCUGUGCCAACAGAUGCUGAGAGCUGAGGGGGGUCUUCAGUCCCAACAGUGAUGAUAAAAAAGUUUCCUGGUUUCCUCUAGCGAAAAACAAAGUGCAAAGUCAUGUUUUGUUUAUUAUUAUUAUUAUUAUUAUUUUCUCAGAUUUCUGAGUUUAUUUCAAGGUUUGCAGUAUUUAAAAAUGAUACUUAGUGAUAGCGUGGAUUAUUUUAUCACACAUAUCUCUCAAAUCAUUCUGAUCACAAUUUAACAAUGUCACGACUAGGAGCACAGGGGGGCUCCAACCUGCAGUUGCAUCAUGGGUUCCUUAAACCCUUGUGGUGGUAUCAGACGUCCUGGUGAAGUCCCUAUCCACUUCCACACACACAAAACCUACACUUGAAUUGAAUUGAAUGCAUAUGUAUUUCCAACACACGAAAACAAAGCAAAACAAAACAAAACAAAAAGGUAGAUUAGUUUGACUAAUAAGGCAUAAUAAAAUGAAAAGCAUGAUACAAAAUAUAUUCCAUUAACAAGCACUGUCAUACACUUAUUCAGUCCUACUGCCACAACUCGGUAAUUAAUCAUAUUCAAUUUAUUUCUAUUCCUGAACAUGUGUACCUUUGUCCGCUCCCAUCUAACUAUAUACAAUUCGAUAUGCUAUAUGUACGAUUAAUAAUUCAAAUAUUAUAUAUAAAUAUAUCUACAUAUACACCCGUAUAUGCAAGCAGAGAGACAGGCCUGUAAUUUGUGAAGUGGUGUUUGUGUCUACAAUUUCGCUCUCUUCCACUGCUGUAAUACACUGAGUCAGGAUCAUUUUUGAUGAAAUCACCAUUUUUCUCUUCAGAUGUCACAGAAUCAGGGAUUUGUGCUGCCAGUUUUGGUCCAACACUUAAAAAGUAAUUAUUGAGGCCAUCAACUACAUCAUCCUUAAGAAUCAUAUCAUUAUCAACAAAAUACCAAUUAUAGUUAACUUGUCUAGAACCAUUUCAAAUAACAUUGUUUAAUAUAUUCAACAUACCUUUAACAUUGUUUUUGUUAUGAUUAUGAUUAUAGUUGCCAUAAUAUUCUGUCCUACUAAUUCUCACAAUCUUAACCUAUUUAUUAUAUUAUUUAUAUUUAUUUUCUGCCUCUUUGGUUCUAUGUUUUAUGAAUUCUCUAUGUAGUGUGUGUUUCUUUCUGCAGGCAUUUUGUAAACCAUAAGUGAUCCAUGGACUGUCUGAAUAGUUUUGGUCUUCAUUGAUUUGUCUUAUUGGGAUUUGAAUACCCAUAAGAAUAUUUCAUAUGCUUUGUCAAGGCCUUCUUCUUUGUAUAAUAUUUCCCAAUUUUGGUUUCAAUUUUGAUUCAUCUUUCAAACUGUGACUGACUCAUCUGUCCUCAAGUUUAAUGUCCUGCUUUUCCUCCUUGUUGUCACUGUCAAAGACUGUAAACAUUGGUAGGUGGUCACUGAUAUAAUCAAUCUGUAAUCCACUUAUUGCCUUGUUGUCUGUAACAUUAGUAAAUAUGUUGUCUAUCAGUGUGGCACAGAGAGAUGUAAUCCUGCUGGGUCUGGUGACUUUUAGCUUAAACUUUGAUUGCAGUUGUCCUUCUCUCUACCACCUUGGAAUUCAGGGGUUUUUUUCCACAUACACUCCUCCAGUCUUGUCCUCCCUAUUUAUGUAAUUCAGUUCAUAACAAUCUAAUUCAAAGUCCAUACAGCUCACGGGGUUGAUCCAAGUUUCUGAUAUUUCAGUGAUGUUAAAUGGUUGUGCAAACUGUUAUUCCCUAAAUGUUGUGGAAACUGUAUACAGGCAUCCACUGUUGAAAUUAAUUCCUGAAUGGAAUAGAAUAGAACAGAUCUUUAUUGUCAUUGUAUAUUGAACAACAAAAUUGAGAAGCAACUCCUUAUUAGUGCAAAUUAUAGAUAAAAACAUACAAAACAUAAGAACACUGACACUAGGAUAAAAUUAAUGAAUAAAAAAUAAACAUAAAUACCAAGCACACAACUCACAAGUCCCAUGUCAUACUCAUUAUAGUCAUGAGAUUAUUGCAUGCUGACAUACCACACACACAGUAAGUACUUAUAGUUUUUGUCUAUCUUGAUGCUGUGGUUGAACUGUUCACCUGUGUAAUAUGAUCAGCUGUUGAUAGGAUUUGUUUUUUUUCCAGAUUGAUAUUGUCUUCCAUUUCCUGGAAGCUGCUCAACAGGGUAUUCAAAUGUUUUUACUUUCACCUUAUCAUAGUCAGCGAUCUUCUGUGGCAUAUAUGAAUAAUUUCCAGCAGUAGAUGAAUGAUUUGUAUUUGAGUGUGUCAUGUUUGUAUAUUGUUUAUUUGAUCACCUGUGUUUGCUUACAAUAUAUAAAAACCUUACAGUCCA